AGAGUUUGAUCCUGGCUCAGGAUGAACGCUGGCGGCGUGCCUAAUACAUGCAAGUCGAGCGAACUGAUUAGAAGCUUGCUUCUAUGACGUUAGCGGCGGACGGGUGAGUAACACGUGGGCAACCUGCCUGUAAGACUGGGAUAACUUCGGGAAACCGAAGCUAAUACCGGAUAGGAUCUUCUCCUUCAUGGGAGAUGAUUGAAAGAUGGUUUCGGCUAUCACUUACAGAUGGGCCCGCGGUGCAUUAGCUAGUUGGUGAGGUAACGGCUCACCAAGGCAACGAUGCAUAGCCGACCUGAGAGGGUGAUCGGCCACACUGGGACUGAGACACGGCCCAGACUCCUACGGGAGGCAGCAGUAAGGAAUCUUCCGCAAUGGACGAAAGUCUGACGGAGCAACGCCGCGUGAGUGAUGAAGGCUUUCGGGUCGUAAAACUCUGUUGUUAGGGAAGAACAAGUACGAGAGUAACUGCUCGUACCUUGACGGUACCUAACCAGAAAGCCACGGCUAACUACGUGCCAGCAGCCGCGGUAAUACGUAGGUGGCAAGCGUUAUCCGGAAUUAUUGGGCGUAAAGCGCGCGCAGGCGGUUUCUUAAGUCUGAUGUGAAAGCCCACGGCUCAACCGUG
RNAcentral lists this ribosomal RNA (628 nucleotides) under uncultured marine bacterium. RNAcentral's name for it is "bacterial SSU rRNA". It matches the Rfam family "Bacterial small subunit ribosomal RNA", at positions 8 to 617 of the family's 1533-position model. The record is from RNAcentral.